CAUGUUCAUUACCAACAUUCAGGCCGACGUCACCAUCAUCAUUCCCUGGACCAUUCCGCUAGCAGACUAACUGAACUUUCUGCCUUCUCACUCAGACCCUUCCAGCCAUCAGUAGAGUGCAGGGUCCAGCACAUAGAAAUCACUCCAUUCACUGACUGAAAAUUGAAAGAGAUGGUUGGGACACGCUUCCAUGGCAUGAUAUGGGGAUGCAAUAGAGCCCUAUGUGACCCCAAACAACCCCAAGAACACCUGAAAAGGAGACAGAAGCCAAUCAAGGGAAGACACAAAACACGACUCUUCAUUCCAGUCUCUAUAGUCAGCCAGUAUUCAUUGAGUGCUUUUUCUGUGCUGGGUGGGGUGCUGAGGAGGGGAGAAAGACAAGAUUUUUUGGAGCUUUGGA
RNAcentral lists this long non-coding RNA (400 nucleotides) under Equus caballus (horse). RNAcentral's name for it is "lncRNA (ENSECAG00000047388.1)". Lineage: Eukaryota; Metazoa; Chordata; Mammalia; Perissodactyla; Equidae. The record is from RNAcentral.